This 315-nucleotide ribosomal RNA is filed under the name Lepomis macrochirus (bluegill). RNAcentral's name for it is "partial 16S ribosomal RNA". It matches the Rfam family "Bacterial large subunit ribosomal RNA", at positions 2175 to 2569 of the family's 2925-position model. Lineage: Eukaryota; Metazoa; Chordata; Actinopteri; Centrarchiformes; Centrarchidae. The record is from RNAcentral.
AGACGCCAGAAUAAAUCAUGUCAAAUACCCCCAAACACAGGGCCGAACUAAAUGAGCAUUAUUCCAUGUCUUUGGUUGGGGCGACCGCGGGGAAAUAAAAAACCCCCACGUGGACUGGAAUUAUGCUAUUCCACAACUAAGAGCCCCCGCUCUAGUUAACAGAAUUUCUGACCAACAAAGAUCCGGCAACGCCGAUCAACGGACCGAGUUACCCUAGGGAUAACAGCGCAAUCCUCUUUUAGAGCCCAUAUCGACAAGAGGGUUUACGACCUCGAUGUUGGAUCAGGACAUCCUAAUGGUGCAGCCGCUAUUAAG